This 497-nucleotide ribosomal RNA is filed under the name uncultured bacterium. Its description in RNAcentral is "partial 16S ribosomal RNA". It matches the Rfam family "Bacterial small subunit ribosomal RNA", at positions 28 to 507 of the family's 1533-position model. The record is from RNAcentral.
GACGAACGCUGGCGGCGUGCCUAAUACAUGCAAGUCGAACGGACGGACGAGAAGCUUGCUGCUCGGAUGUUAGCGGCGGACGGGUGAGUAACACGUGGAUAACCUCCCUAUAAGUCUGGGAUAAUUUCGGGAAACCGGAGCUAAUACCGGAUAAUAUUUUGAACCGCAUGGUUCAAAAGUGAAAGACGGUCUUGCUGUCAGUUAUAGAUGGAUCCGCGCUGCAUUGGCUGGUUGGGAAGGUAACGGCUUACCAAGGCAACGAGGCAUAGCCGACCUGAGAGGGGGAUCGGCCACACUGGAAGUGAGACAAGGUCCAGACUCCUACGGGAGGGAGCAGUAGGGAAUGUUACGCAAUGGGGGAAAGCCUGACGGAGCAGCGGCGCGUGAGUGAUGACGGUGUUCGGAUCGUAAUGCUCUGUUAUUAGGGAAGAACCUAUGUGUACGUAACUGUGGAGAGCUUGACGGUACCUAGUCAGAAAGCCACGGCUAACUACGUG